RNAcentral lists this ribosomal RNA (255 nucleotides) under uncultured prokaryote. RNAcentral's name for it is "partial 16S ribosomal RNA". It matches the Rfam family "Bacterial small subunit ribosomal RNA", at positions 524 to 777 of the family's 1533-position model. The record is from RNAcentral.
UACGGAGGAUCCGAGCGUUAUCCGGAUUUAUUGGGUUUAAAGGGUGCGCAGGCGGGAGAUUAAGUCGGCGGUGAAAUUUUGCAGCUCAACUGUAACAGUGCCGUUGAUACUGGGGAGCUAGGAUUUGGUUGCUGUGGGUGGAAUGUGUGGUGUAGCGGUGAAAUGCUUAGAGAUCACACAGAAUAUCGAUUGCGAAGGCAGCUCACAAAGCCAAGAUUGACGCUGAGGCACGAAAGUGUGGGGAGUCAAACAGGA